This 322-nucleotide unclassified non-coding RNA is filed under the name Hevea brasiliensis (rubber tree). Lineage: Eukaryota; Viridiplantae; Streptophyta; Magnoliopsida; Malpighiales; Euphorbiaceae. The record is from RNAcentral.
GAAAAGACCUCUCCCCCAACUUACUGUGUCCAUCCUCUUCAGAAUCUUCCUUCUGGCUCUUGUGAGGUGUUGUUUUAUAAUUUAUUGGUUUAGUUUUCAAUUAAACAGCAUAUGAUUCUGAUAAUUAAGAAUCUGUUGUACUGUGUAGUUGUGCUGUUCAGUUGUUUAUGUUCACUGGGAUGAGGUAUAGCUCUCCAGUUCUUUCCACAGCGAUGAAUGAUCUCACACCUGCUUUCACUUUUUUGUUAGCCAUAAUCUCCAGGUGCGCCUUCGAUCUCUUUGUUCUUCUGUUUCCACUUUCCAGCGAAAGAUAAAUUUAAAA